This 82-nucleotide transfer RNA is filed under the name Parastagonospora nodorum. RNAcentral's name for it is "tRNA-Leu". It matches the Rfam family "tRNA". From Rfam's summary of the family: Transfer RNA (tRNA) molecules are approximately 80 nucleotides in length. Their secondary structure includes four short double-helical elements and three loops (D, anti-codon, and T loops). Lineage: Eukaryota; Fungi; Ascomycota; Dothideomycetes; Pleosporales; Phaeosphaeriaceae. The record is from RNAcentral. RNAcentral also lists the same sequence under 1 other name.
GGCAAGAUGGCCGAGCGGUCUAAGGCGCUAGCUUCAGGUGCUAGUAGAGCAAUCUGCGUGGGUUCGAAUCCCACUCUUGUCA